UCCCUAGUGGCUCAGAUGGUAAAGCAUCUGCCUACAAUGCAGGAGACCUGGGUUCAAUCCCUGGGUUGGGAA
Molecule: transfer RNA, 72 nt
Filed under: Bos taurus (domestic cattle)
Lineage: Eukaryota; Metazoa; Chordata; Mammalia; Artiodactyla; Bovidae
Also listed under: 2 other names
Rfam family: tRNA
About the family: Transfer RNA (tRNA) molecules are approximately 80 nucleotides in length. Their secondary structure includes four short double-helical elements and three loops (D, anti-codon, and T loops).
Source: Rfam by way of RNAcentral